Molecule: ribosomal RNA, 253 nt
Filed under: uncultured bacterium
Lineage: Bacteria
Description: partial 16S ribosomal RNA
Rfam family: Bacterial small subunit ribosomal RNA
Source: RNAcentral
UACAGAGGGGGCAAGCGUUGUUCGGAAUUACUGGGCGUAAAGGGCGCGUAGGCGGCCUUCUAAGUCGAACGUGAAAUCCCUGGGCUCAACCCAGGAACUGCGUCCGAUACUGGAAGGCUUGAAUCCGGGAGAGGGAUGCGGAAUUCCAGGUGUAGCGGUGAAAUGCGCAGAUAUUGGGAGGAACACCAGUGGCGAAGGCGGCACUCUGGGCCAGUACUGACACUGAGGAGCGAAAGCGUGGGUAGCGAACAGG